UGAGUAAGUGGGUCCCCAGUUCUCCCAGGAACAUGGAUCUCUGAGGGAAUUGCCCCCACAUCCUCCCUCAUUUAGCAAAGUUGCCAUGAGCCACUUCCAUAGGAACACAGAUUGGGAAAAGUACUGAAAUUGAAGUUUUGAUAAACUAUGUCUGAUAUGCUUCAGUGAACAAAGUCUGGGAGAGAAGAACAUUUUGGUGAGGUUGGACAUCUGGAAUGUUGAAUUUAUGAACCACAAGGACAUUUUGCAAAAACCUGAAGAUAAAGAAGAGGCGAACAAAGACUCCAUCUAUGUGUUAAAAGUUCCUACUUUUAGCUAAAGACUAAAAAGAUGGGCUAAUUAACAUAAGAAAUGAGAAAUCAGUAACUGGUAGAGGAUAGAAUAAUAUUAAAUGAAAGAAAAUUAUAAGAGAAUUUUGGAAUU
Molecule: long non-coding RNA, 423 nt
Organism: Vidua macroura (Pin-tailed whydah)
Lineage: Eukaryota; Metazoa; Chordata; Aves; Passeriformes; Viduidae
Exons: 2
Source: RefSeq, a predicted model, not a curated record